This 261-nucleotide ribosomal RNA is filed under the name uncultured bacterium. Its description in RNAcentral is "partial 16S ribosomal RNA". It matches the Rfam family "Bacterial small subunit ribosomal RNA", at positions 793 to 1055 of the family's 1533-position model. The record is from RNAcentral.
GUCCUGGCCCUCAACGUUGUUCGCUCGUUCGCGGAGUAUCGACCCUCUGCGAGACUAAGGUAACCCGGUAAGCGAACCGCCUGGGUAGUACGAGCGCAAGCUUAAACUCAAGGAAUAGACGGGACUCGCACAAGUGGUGGAUUAUGUGGCUUAAUUCGUCGGCAAACGAAGACCUUACCAAGGUUAGACAUCCAGCUGCAUCCCAGCCGAAAGGCAGGGGAGCCUUCGAGGGUGCUGGGACAGGUGGUGCACGGUCGUCGU